AAAAAGUACCCGCCGACAAUGGGUCCGCCGGCCGGGGCAGCGUCGGGCAUAAAAAGGCAAGAAAAACCUCAGCUCUUUGUUUAUUCUGAUUUUUAUUGGUUGACGAUGGUAGUGAUUUUGUUAUUGACUAUAGGUUGCUUGAAAAUUUGACUGUUUCGUUGUUGAAGCUAAACCGGCGAUCUAAGUGUUUUCUAUUUGAAAAUUUAACGGUUUUCUAUUUGAAAAUUUUGAUCAAUUGAUCAAUUUUAGGAAAAUUCCAACAAUCAUGUUUAACAAAAGAGCACUUGUUUAGCUCGAUUUUUAGGAGUAGUCUUGUAGUUCUUGAGUAAUCAGCGCAAACGGUAUGAAAAUGGUAUUAAAUGGUAGUUUAAUCCACUGUGAAUCUGUUUUUCCAGCCAACUUUCAUUUGGUGGAAACAAUCUUUGUUUUUAUUGUUUUGAUAUUAUUACUAUUUAAGUGAGUUCUUUGGAUCGUUUAGCUUUGAUGAUCAUUAGAUUAGAAAAGGGUUUAGAACAUGAGCAAUGGAAACAGAGAUAUGAUUUGAAAAAUUGGGACGAUGUUUCGUUUAGG
This 570-nucleotide long non-coding RNA is filed under the name Linum usitatissimum (flax). Its description in RNAcentral is "long non-coding RNA (LUSI_LNC007293)". Lineage: Eukaryota; Viridiplantae; Streptophyta; Magnoliopsida; Malpighiales; Linaceae. The record is from RNAcentral.